UACGUAGGGGGCGAGCGUUAUCCGGAUUUACUGGGUGUAAAGGGAGCGUAGACGGCCAUGCAAGCUCGGUGUGAAAGGUGCGGGCACAACCCGCAGACUGCACUGAGAACUGUAUGGCUAGAGUGCCGGAGGGGCAGGCGGAAUUCCUGGUGUAGCGGUGAAAUGCGUAGAUAUCAGGAGGAAUACCGUUAGCGAAGGCGGCAAUCUGGCUGGAAACUGACGCUGAGGUGCGAAAGCGUGGGGAGCAAACAGG
This 253-nucleotide ribosomal RNA is filed under the name uncultured Eubacteriales bacterium. RNAcentral's name for it is "uncultured Clostridiales bacterium partial 16S ribosomal RNA". It matches the Rfam family "Bacterial small subunit ribosomal RNA", at positions 524 to 776 of the family's 1533-position model. The record is from RNAcentral. Lineage: Bacteria; Bacillati; Bacillota; Clostridia; Eubacteriales.